Miniopterus natalensis is the source of this 776-nucleotide non-coding RNA. The record is from RefSeq and is a predicted model, not a curated record. Lineage: Eukaryota; Metazoa; Chordata; Mammalia; Chiroptera; Miniopteridae.
GCCAAGUCCGCGCGGUGAAGGCUCCUCCUUCCAGUCAAGUUCCCUCGGGGCGUCUGUGCAGCCUACGCUUUCCGAACCGUCCACUUAAGGGAGUCUGUCCAGGACAAAAACUGGCCACUCUCUUUGGCUUUGGGUCCAAUAUGUAAAGCUGGUGUGUGGGACGGUGGAAGCUUCUCAAGGGUAAGGACGAUGUCUUCAGACGUGCUCAGUGUCCACCACUGAGGGCUUUGGAAUGAGCUGUCUGCGAUGGUGGAGAAUCUGCUAUCUUGGCUGAACCACCCUGCAGGGACUCCACUCUGCCAAAGGCCAGGAGGGGCUCCUCCCUAAGUCUAGGGGUUUUACUGAGACUUGGAACAGGCACAACAAAGGGUGUGAGCCUCCGGAGCCAGAGGCUGGCUAAUGAGUUAUUGCCACAGCGCUCAGACUUAUUAAGAGAUGUUGCAGAGGCACCCAGUACAUCGCCCCAGGAGGAACUCAGGAGGAAGAAGCCAAACACCCUGUGAUGAAGGGCUGUGUCCACAGAAAGGCACCACCAAGCAAGAAGGUAGGGCCUGAAGAAUCUUUACUCAGCCUCCUCAGCAGAUCCACUAAGCUCCACUUGAAACUGCACAAACACUUGGUGCUGAAGGCUGAGUUACAGGCCCUGUGAUACCAGGCCCUUCCCCUCCUCUGAUCUCACAAUGUUCCAGUGACAGGGAUCUGUCCUUUGUAAUGCUGCCAUGUCGGCAUGCUAUGCAUUUCAUGGCAGAGUAGCUACUAAAGGAGAAAUCUGUCCA